Molecule: ribosomal RNA, 492 nt
Filed under: uncultured bacterium
Lineage: Bacteria
Description: partial 16S ribosomal RNA
Rfam family: Bacterial small subunit ribosomal RNA
Source: RNAcentral
AGUGAACGCUGGCGGUAGGCCUAACACAUGCAAGUCGAACGGCAGCACAGUAAGAGCUUGCUCUUACGGGUGGCGAGUGGCGGACGGGUGAGGAAUACAUCGGAAUCUACUUUUUCGUGGGGGAUAACGUAGGGAAACUUACGCUAAUACCGCAUACGACCUACGGGUGAAAGCAGGGGAUCUUCGGACCUUGCGCGAUUGAAUGAGCCGAUGUCGGAUUAGCUAGUUGGCGGGGUAAAGGCCCACCAAGGCGACGAUCCGUAGCUGGUCUGAGAGGAUAAUCGGCCACACUGGAACUGAGACACGGUCCAGACUCCUACGGGAGGCAGCAGUGGGGAAUAUUGGACAAUGGGCGCAAGCCUGAUCCAGCCAUACCGCGUGGGUGAAGAAGGCCUUCGGGUUGUAAAGCCCUUUUGUUGGGAAAGAAAAGCAGCAGGUUAAUACCCCGCUGUUCUGACGGUACCCAAAGAAUAAGCACCGGCUAACUUCGUG